This 483-nucleotide ribosomal RNA is filed under the name uncultured bacterium. RNAcentral's name for it is "bacterial SSU rRNA". It matches the Rfam family "Bacterial small subunit ribosomal RNA", at positions 28 to 507 of the family's 1533-position model. The record is from RNAcentral.
GAUGAACGCUGGCGGCGUGCUUAACACAUGCAAGUCGAACGAAGCACUUUAUUACGAUUUCUUCGGAAUGACGAUUUGGUGACUGAGUGGCGGACGGGUGAGUAACGCGUGGGUAACCUGCCUGUUAGUGGGGAAUAACGUUUGGAAACGAACGCUAAUACCGCAUAAUAUAUACAUGGCGCAUGCCGAGUAUAUCAAAGAUAUAUUGCUGACAGAUGGGCUCGCGUCCGAUUAGGCAGUUGGUGAGGUAACGGCUCACCAAACCGACGAUCGGUAGCCGGACUGAGAGGUUGAACGGCCACAUUGGAACUGAGAAACGGUCCAGACUCCUACGGGAGGCAGCAGUGGGGAAUAUUGGGCAAUGGGCGAAAGCCUGACCCAGCGACGCCGCGUGAGGGAAGACGGUCUUCGGAUUGUAAACCUCUUUCAGCAGGGAAGACAAAAAGGACGGUAACCUGCAGAAGAAGCCAGGCUAACUACGUG